Molecule: long non-coding RNA, 215 nt
Filed under: Phoenix dactylifera (date palm)
Lineage: Eukaryota; Viridiplantae; Streptophyta; Magnoliopsida; Arecales; Arecaceae
Description: long non-coding RNA (PDAC_LNC020763)
Source: RNAcentral
GUAUCCAUGCAUAGUAGUUGUGUUUCAAAGAUACAUCUAUAACUAUGUCUACAUCCUAUACUAGUGAAGUAUGCAAUGGUAGACUAGAAAGUAAACAUAAUUGUGUACGAAGAAAAUGUAUAUAUGUCUCAGGUAAAGAGUAAGUGUGCACCGAGUAUUGGACUUAGUGUAACUAAAAUAUAAGCAUGCAUCCUCACCCAAAAACCCUACCUCAA